Danio rerio (zebrafish) is the source of this 83-nucleotide non-coding RNA. The record is from Rfam. NCBI's taxonomy places the organism in Eukaryota, Metazoa, Chordata, Actinopteri, Cypriniformes, Danionidae.
GUCAGGAUGGACAAGCGGUCUAAGGCGCUGCGUUAAGAUUGCAAUUUCCCCUGGAGGCGUGGGUUCAAAUGCCACUUCCGACA